Molecule: ribosomal RNA, 467 nt
Filed under: uncultured bacterium
Lineage: Bacteria
Description: partial 16S ribosomal RNA
Rfam family: Bacterial small subunit ribosomal RNA
Source: RNAcentral
GACGAACGCUGGCGGCGUGCUUAACACAUGCAAGUCGAACGGAAAGGCCCUGCUUUUGUGGGGUGCUCGAGUGGCGAACGGGUGAGUAACACGUGAGUAACCUGCCCUUGACUUUGGGAUAACUUCAGGAAACUGGGGCUAAUACCGGAUAGGAGCUCCUGCUGCAUGGUGGGGGUUGGAAAGUUUCGGCGGUUGGGGAUGGACUCGCGGCUUAUCAGCUUGUUGGUGGGGUAGUGGCUUACCAAGGCUUUGACGGGUAGCCGGCCUGAGAGGGUGACCGGCCACAUUGGGCUGGGGUACGGGCCCGGCUCCUACCGGGAGGAACCGUUGGGGAUUUUUCCCCAAUGGCCGGAACCUGGUUCCACAACCGCCGCUGCGGGAUGACGGCCUUCGGGUUGUAAACCGCUUUCGCCUGUGACGAAGCGUGAGUGACGGUAAUGGGUAAAGAAGCACCGGCUAACUACGUG